This 146-nucleotide unclassified non-coding RNA is filed under the name soil metagenome. Its description in RNAcentral is "partial internal transcribed spacer 1". The record is from RNAcentral.
UAAUAAGUGUUUUAUGGCACUUUUUAAAUCCAUAUCCACCUUGUGUGCAAUGUCAGUCGAUCUUCUUCAUGGAGAUCGACCAAACAUCAACCUUUAUUUUUUAACUCUUUUGUCUGAAAAAUAUUAUGAAUAAACAAUUCAAAAUA